Molecule: long non-coding RNA, 387 nt
Organism: Melopsittacus undulatus (budgerigar)
Lineage: Eukaryota; Metazoa; Chordata; Aves; Psittaciformes; Psittaculidae
Exons: 3
Source: RefSeq, a predicted model, not a curated record
UCUGUGCCCUGUGGCUUUGAGGUGCUGCCCUCAGCUGGAAGCCUCGCUUCAGGACAGCAGUGCCACGUCCAAGUCCGUUUUUCACCCACGGAAGAGAAGUGCUACCGGGGCGAGCUGCAGAUCCAGAUUUGCCAGAGCAGCCAACGCCUGCAGGUGCCGGUCUUGGGACGUGGUCUGGAGCCACGGCUGGAGUCCAUCCCUGCAGAGCUGGAGCUGGGACCGCUGCUGCCCCAGAGCCAUGGGGAAGAGGGGACAGUGGUGGUGAAGAAGCCCUAUGAGGUUUACUCAGUGCAGUUUGAGCAGCAGCACCUUGCUGAGGAGCAGCCCCUACAGACACCGAAAAAUGACAACAGCCCCAACAGCUUGUUGCUGCCUCCGUGUGCCCCG